GUGAGGAAUUUUCCGCAAUGGGCGAAAGCCUGACGGAGCAAUGCCGCGUGAAGGAUGAAGGCCUAUGGGUUGUAAACUUCUUUUCUCAGAAAAGAAUUAUGACGGUAUCUGAGGAAUAAGCAUCGGCUAACUCUGUGCCAGCAGCCGCGGUAAGACAGAGGAUGCAAGCGUUAUCCGGAAUGAUUGGGCGUAAAGCGUCUGUAGGUUGUUUAAAAAGUAUUCUGUCAAAGAUUAGGGCUUAACCCUAGAUAGGCAGAAUAAACUUUUAAGCUAGAGUUUGGUAGAGGCAGAGGGAAUUCCCGGUGGAGCGGUGAAAUGCGUAGAUAUCGGGAGGAACACCAAAGGCGAAGGCACUCUGCUGGGCCAAUACUAACACUGAGAGACGAAAGCGAGGGGAGCAAAUGGGAUUAGAAACCCUAGUAGUC
RNAcentral lists this ribosomal RNA (425 nucleotides) under uncultured bacterium. Its description in RNAcentral is "bacterial SSU rRNA". It matches the Rfam family "Bacterial small subunit ribosomal RNA", at positions 354 to 795 of the family's 1533-position model. The record is from RNAcentral.